GGGAACUAUAAUAGCAAGGACUUUGCUUGUUGUUGUUCUUAGGUACAUAAACUAACUGAAGCAGGGGGUUAUUCUUCUAGAGACUGUAAUAUUAUGACAGAAGAUAUUUCCUGUACAGUUUUAAGAAGCAGAAGCAAGAAAGAAAUCUCAAAAGUCAAUGUCUCAUUAAAUGGCAGUGCUAGACCCUAGACAAGGGUUAGGAACCUCUGAAUCUCUUUUUUAAAUCUAACCAGAGCUACUGUGUUUGGGGUGGAAAAAAAGACUGUAAUACUAACUUACUCACCCUACACACUGGGGCUUGUAUCUACAGAUCAGUAGAUACUGGGGGAAGUGAUGAACUUCCUACACGCACAGUGCGCUAAACCUCGUUCUAUGCUACUUGUGGGUGGAGUGUUCCUGAGUGUGGGGAACAGGUAUGUCCUUGUCAGCUUGGUCUGCUACCUCUGAACUUUAGCUACAUUUAGGGUAGUAACACCUGCUGAGAAACAGCAGCAUUUCUCACUACUAUUUAGCUGCAAAUAAGGCAGAAGUAACCAGGUAUUUUCUGAGAGCUACUAGAGAAUGUGUGUAAAUUUCUAUCAGUUCAAUUCUUAAAGAAAAACCAAC
RNAcentral lists this long non-coding RNA (606 nucleotides) under Bos taurus (domestic cattle). Its description in RNAcentral is "long non-coding RNA NONBTAT025346". Lineage: Eukaryota; Metazoa; Chordata; Mammalia; Artiodactyla; Bovidae. The record is from RNAcentral.